GCGGGGAUAGCUCAGUUGGGAGAGCGUCAGACUGAAGAUCUGAAGGUCGCGUGCUCGAUCCACGUUCACCGCA
RNAcentral lists this transfer RNA (73 nucleotides) under Vigna radiata var. radiata (mung bean). RNAcentral's name for it is "tRNA tRNA-Phe". It matches the Rfam family "tRNA". From Rfam's summary of the family: Transfer RNA (tRNA) molecules are approximately 80 nucleotides in length. Their secondary structure includes four short double-helical elements and three loops (D, anti-codon, and T loops). Further hydrogen bonds mediate the characteristic L-shaped molecular structure. tRNAs have two regions of fundamental functional importance: the anti-codon, which is responsible for specific mRNA codon recognition, and the 3' end, to which the tRNAs corresponding amino acid is attached (by aminoacyl-tRNA synthetases). tRNAs cope with the degeneracy of the genetic code in two manners: having more than one tRNA (with a specific anti-codon) for a particular amino acid; and 'wobble' base-pairing, i.e. permitting non-standard base-pairing at the 3rd anti-codon position. Lineage: Eukaryota; Viridiplantae; Streptophyta; Magnoliopsida; Fabales; Fabaceae. The record is from Rfam by way of RNAcentral.